RNAcentral lists this ribosomal RNA (789 nucleotides) under Vibrio sp. RNAcentral's name for it is "bacterial SSU rRNA". It matches the Rfam family "Bacterial small subunit ribosomal RNA", at positions 369 to 1158 of the family's 1533-position model. Lineage: Bacteria; Pseudomonadati; Pseudomonadota; Gammaproteobacteria; Vibrionales; Vibrionaceae. The record is from RNAcentral.
CAAGGGCGCAGCCGAUGCAGCCAUGCCGCGUGUGUGAAGAAGGCCUUCGGGUUGUAAAGCACUUUCAGUCGUUGAGGAAGGGUGUGUAUUUAAUAGAUGCGCACUUUGACGUUAGCGACAGAAGAAGCACCGGCUAACUCCGUGCCAGCAGCCGCGGUAAUACGGAGGGUGCGAGCGUUAAUCGGAAUUACUGGGCGUAAAGCGCAUGCAGGUGGUUCGUUAAGUCAGAUGUGAAAGCCCGGGGCUCAACCUCGGAAUAGCAUUUGAAACUGGCGAACUAGAGUACUGUAGAGGGGGGUAGAAUUUCAGGUGUAGCGGUGAAAUGCGUAGAGAUCUGAAGGAAUACCAGUGGCGAAGGCGGCCCCCUGGACAGAUACUGACACUCAGAUGCGAAAGCGUGGGGAGCAAACAGGAUUAGAUACCCUGGUAGUCCACGCCGUAAACGAUGUCUACUUGGAGGUUGUGGCCUUGAGCCGUGGCUUUCGGAGCUAACGCGUUAAGUAGACCGCCUGGGGAGUACGGUCGCAAGAUUAAAACUCAAAUGAAUUGACGGGGGCCCGCACAAGCGGUGGAGCAUGUGGUUUAAUUCGAUGCAACGCGAAGAACCUUACCUACUCUUGACAUCUACAGAAGCCAGCGGAGACGCAGGUGUGCCUUCGGGAACUGUAAGACAGGUGCUGCAUGGCUGUCGUCAGCUCGUGUUGUGAAAUGUUGGGUUAAGUCCCGCACGAGCGCACCCUUAUCCUUGUUUGCCAGCUAGUAUGCGGGAACUCCAGAGACUGCCGGGAU